ACUUCUUACGGCUUACAGCUUACAACACCUAUUAUAGACCAGGCCUCAAUUCUCUAUAAGCGAGCGUAAGUUUUAGUUAUUUUAUUAAUCGUCCAUGGACUGUGAGUAGUGUAGAAACGUAGUCACUACUCAGUUUGUGAAAAUUUCCAAGGGACAGAAUCGAUUACCGUGGGUGUACGGUCGCGGACAUAAAGGUUGUCACUUUUUUUAAUGACUCAGGACGUAUCCCGACUCAAGAAAAAUGAGAACUGCUGCUUCGCCUGCGGAGCACGCCUGCGCAGUAACUCACAACGAAAUUUGCUCGAUCGUUGAAUGUCGUGAACGCACCCAAUUCUUACAUUUUGAAAAAUCAGCAGCGGAGGGAUAGAUACAUAGUGCAAGUCACUCAAAUAGGAAUGCGUCUUUUGCAAAAUAUUAAACAGUCUUAUGAAGAUUCCACUUCAGUGUGUGAUCAUCGCUUGAGGUAAUAAGAACCGGAUCUGCGGGGUGGAAGACGAGUGCUCUAACAGCGUUAAAAUGUGAACGUAACGUAUAUUUAGCGUUCCAUAUUUUUCUGAGGGUUUCCUUCGUAGUGGAAACCAUCUGUGUCGCAAGAAAUAAUAUGUUAAUGUCAACAAACUGUAACUCUAAAGGCUCGUCUACAUU
This is a long non-coding RNA of Harpegnathos saltator (Jerdon's jumping ant), 645 nucleotides long. RefSeq lists it as uncharacterized. The transcript is spliced from 3 exons. The record is from RefSeq and is a predicted model, not a curated record. Lineage: Eukaryota; Metazoa; Arthropoda; Insecta; Hymenoptera; Formicidae.